This 914-nucleotide ribosomal RNA is filed under the name uncultured archaeon. Its description in RNAcentral is "bacterial SSU rRNA". It matches the Rfam family "Archaeal small subunit ribosomal RNA", at positions 1 to 922 of the family's 1478-position model. The record is from RNAcentral.
UUCCGGUUGAUCCUGCCGGACCUGACUGCUAUCGGAUUGAUACUAAGCCAUGCGAGUCUUUGUAGUAAUACAAGGCAUACGGCUCAGUAACGCGUAGUCAACCUACCCUAUGGACAAGAAUAAUCUCGGGAAACUGAGCAUAAUUCUUGAUAGAUCAUAAUGCCUGGAAUGGUUUAUGGUUAAAAUGAUUCGUCGCCAUAGGAUGGGACUGCGGCCUAUCAGCUUGUUGGUGAGGUAAUGGCCCACCAAGGCGAUAACAGGUACGGGCUCUGAGAGGAGAAGCCCGGAGAUGGGUACUGAGACAAGGACCCAGGCCCUAUGGGGCGCAGCAGGCGAGAAAACUUUGCAAUGUGCGAAAGCACGACAAGGUUAGUCCGAGUGAUUUCUGCUAAAGAGAUCUUUUGCUAGUUAUAAAACCACUAGUGAAUAAGGGGUGGGCAAGUUCUGGUGUCAGCCGCCGCGGUAAAACCAGCACCUCAAGUGGUCAGGAUGAUUAUUGGGCCUAAAGCAUCCGUAGCCGGCUCUGUAAGUUUUCGGUUAAAUCUAUGCGCUCAACGUAUGGGCUGCCGAAAAUACUGUAGAGAUAGGGAGUGGGAGAGGUAGACGGUACUCGGUAGGAAGGGGUAAAAUCCUUUGAUCUAUCGAUGACCACCUGUGGCGAAGGCGGUCUACCAGAACACGUUCGACGGUGAGGGAUGAAAGCUGGGGGAGCAAACCGGAUUAGAUACCCGGGUAGUCCCAGCUGUAAACGAUGCAGACUCGAUGAUGCAUUGGCAUAUAGCCAGUGCAGUGUCGCAGGGAAGCCGUUAAGUCUGCCGCCUGGGAAGUACGUACGCAAGUAUGAAACUUAAAGGAAUUGGCGGGGGAGCACCACAAGGGGUGAAGCCUGCGGUUCAAUUGGAGUCAACGCCGGG